UGGGGAAUAUUGCACAAUGGGGGAAACCCUGAUGCAGCAACGCCGCGUGAGCGAAGAAGGCCUUCGGGUCGUAAAGCUCUGUCCUAAGGGAAGAAUAAUGACGGUACCUUAGGAGGAAGCCCCGGCUAACUACGUGCCAGCAGCCGCGGUAAUACGUAGGGGGCGAGCGUUAUCCGGAAUCACUGGGCGUAAAGGGUGCGUAGGCGGCCAAUCAAGCCAGGGGUGAAAGGCUACGGCUCAACCGUAGUAAGCCUUUGGAACUGAUUGGCUUGAGUGCAGGAGAGGAGAGUGGAAUUCCUAGUGUAGCGGUGAAAUGCGUAGAUAUUAGGAGGAACACCAGUGGCGAAGGCGACUCUCUGGACUGUAACUGACGCUGAGGCACGAAAGCGUGGGGAGCAAACAGGAUUAGAUACCCUCGUAGUC
Molecule: ribosomal RNA, 423 nt
Filed under: uncultured bacterium
Lineage: Bacteria
Description: bacterial SSU rRNA
Rfam family: Bacterial small subunit ribosomal RNA
Source: RNAcentral